This 3330-nucleotide unclassified non-coding RNA is filed under the name Dendronephthya gigantea. RNAcentral describes it as "fibrillin-2-like, transcript variant X1". The record is from RNAcentral. Lineage: Eukaryota; Metazoa; Cnidaria; Anthozoa; Malacalcyonacea; Nephtheidae.
UAGCUUUAUAUGAAAGGAUGUUGUUGGCUUUGCCUUUGGUUUUAAUUCAACUUUGUUUGCCCUGUACUGCACGGGUAUCACAAGACCUUUUUACAUAACUUGUCCGUUCAUGUUUUUACAAGAGUCACUGGAUGAAUAAGCUUUUAUAUAAUAAUGUUACCCUUUACGUAAUCAUUCACUCACAAUGAGAUUACCUGAGAUUUUGUAAUCGUUGCAUGUAUUAAAUGCAUUGUCCCUGCAUGACGUUACAUCAUGUUAAUAUAAUUCUGUUUACUAUAAUGCUAUAAUUUUCGUUGGUUUAAUUUUCAUUGUAAAUAAAACACCUACAUACGAUUCGUCGUAUUCACGUGAUAAGAUAUAUCACGGUGUAUAUACAUACACAACUUAUAUUAUGUAUCUACAUAUAUAGCCAUAGGUUACAUCGUAAAAUUUAAGUGGGCAAACAACUUAUUGCGUAAUUUACUGUCAUAUGCCUAUGGGUGAAAUUCCCAAUUCGUCAAGCAAACUUUAAAUUGUAUGCUUUAUAUUCCGUGUUUUCUACUGUUGCUAAGUCUAAGAGCAUACCGUAGUUUUUUUUAUCACCCACUGCCGGGCACUGCUUUCAUAUCGAUAAGUUUCCUUUUAGGAUAAAAAUAUUUACUGCCUACGCAUAGUUUUCACUGAUAUAUUGUUUUGAUUGUUUUGAUAUCUGAAAUUGUGAGGCGAGGACGUUAAAUUACGUGGGUCGAGAAGCAUCUCGCUGUGCUGAGUUGAGAAGUAAACAAACUUCACAAUAUACAGACAUGUAAGGAAGCGCAUGCAUGUGUUUUGUGUGGGAAGACAAUAUCCAUGGCAAUGAAUAGUAUGCGGAUUCAAAUAUGUACAUUUAUAGGAUGACAUACAUUUACACUAAUGUGAUCAACUGCUUCAUGUUAAUGAAAUAUUAGCUAGUGUAGUUAAUCCAGUAAUAAGACGAUAGAUUUCAUUUAUAUAAGACUAUAAACCAAGAGCUCACAAGCUUCAGCUCAGCCUCAGCUGAAGGAACAAGGUCAUCUUAGUGUACAUGUCACAUGUGUUAAAUUAAAUAUCUAUAGGCUAUAGCUAUACUCUUAACCUGGAUAUAGGCUUGAGAUGUCUAGACUUCGAUUUCUGAUUUUUUUAUGUAUACAAUUUCUAAUAUAUUUAACUCGUAUACGACAUUUUAAGCUUGGUAGGAUCUUGGUGCCGUUUCGUAUAGGUCGAGAGAACUUGGCAAUUAUACAAGUUCAGACAUGAUCAUAUCAAAGAAUAAUUGCUUUCAUAGUUUCAUAAGGAAACAACUUCCUUUUUGAAUAAACAUCCCCAGGUUCCUUCCUUCCUUUGAAUGCAGAUAACUAUAGACCACAUAAAUUAUCAAAUGGCUGGGUUUCGACUCAAAAAUCCACAUGGUUUGGCAUUUGCCCCUUUUCAGGCAAAACGAUAUAAAAGCAAUUUCGUUCUUGGAGAGAUCACUAGACGCUUGACCUUGUCUUCAUCCGUAAUGAAUUACUUCACCUUGGCGCGCUUGAAGCAGACUACGUCAUCAAAUACAUUUGUACACUUCAUGAAGUCCGUCCAUCAACAUCAAGAUCGGUGUAUGUGCGUACGACUCAUCGCGUGUGUUGUUCAUCGGAAACUCCUUAGCCUUAAGAUUUUACGAAAGGCAACUCGAAGAACAUUCCUUCUAUAUACAAUUGCAAGGCUGAUGGACAUAAUUUUGAUUGUAGAAAUCAUGGCUUUCAAAAUGUUCCUUACGACUACUUCUACGGCCAUUUUUGCGUCCGUCGCAUCCACCUCAGUGAAAACCCGUACAUUUGCGACUGCAGCUUAGUCUGGUUCCUGCGUGAGCAUUCUAAUCGAAGAAAAUGCAUUCCAGAUCGUCUACAAAUGCAGUGUGCAUAUCCUGAGAAAUUGCGGGGAAGAAAUAUAACAGAAUUAAAGGAGGAAGAGAUUUGUGAUACCGAAAGAGUGAGUUUCAAGAAGGUUUGCAAACCUCCUGCCGGUAGUUCUAAUACUUGGAACUGCGAGAACUUGGGAUUGGAUUUUGUCCCGUACGAUAUCUUCCAUCGAAAAACACGUUUAUCACUGAGAGGUGAAUACAUGUGUGACUGUAAUAUUGUCUUCGUGAUGCGGCGUCUGAAGUACGAGUGGGAUAGAAACCUGUUACCAAACAAUGCCAAAAUCAGAUGCAAAGGGCCGGGAAAAUUUUCCCAGAAGAAGCUCUAUACGUUAAAGGAGAAUGAUGUUUGUCCCCAAAAAGAACCAAAUGUCUGCAAGGCUCUUCCAUGUCCUGUAACCUCGAUAUGCGAAGUGACUGGGGCGACCUCUUAUCGUUGUGCAGACCUUGAUGAAUGUUGGACGAAACUGAAUAAUUGCGAUAAAAAUGCGAAAUGUAUCAAUACAGAUCCGGGAUAUCUGUGUCGUUGUAGACCUGGUUAUACACAGUACAAUGAUGGACGAGUGUGUCAAGAUUUUGACGAAUGUUCACAAAAAUCUCUGUGUGCUAAGGAUGCUAAGUGUAUUAAUCUUCCUGGAUCUUACAAAUGCGAAUGUGAUGCUGGCUUCUCUGGAGAUGGAACAUUUUGCGAAGACAUAAAUGAAUGCGUUGGCAGAAAACGCUGCAGCGUUCAUGCAGAGUGCAAGAACACACAAGGAUCAUACGAAUGUACAUGUAAGAAGGGUUACCGUGUCAAAGACUUGAUAUGUGCAGAUAUUGACGAGUGUUCCCAGAAUCCUUGUCCAGUCCAAUCCACUUGUCAAAACACUGUUGGUUCAUACUCUUGUAAAUGUCUUUCUGGAUAUGAGUGGAAACACACCCGAUGUUUAGAUCUUGACGAAUGCAAAACAAAUAUUCAUAAGUGCGACAAAAAUGCUGUUUGCUUCAACCUGGUCGGAGGAUAUAAAUGUCGCUGCAAGGAUGGUUACGAGAAUGUGAACAAUGGAAGACUUUGUGCAAAAAGCAAGACAAGCAAAUACAAAUCACCUCAUAUUCUGUUGAUUUCAACUUCAACCUGCGUGGCCGUUGGUGGUGUUGCUUUGUUAAUAGGUCUGGCUAUCUAUUUUGAAAGGAAAAUGAGGAAGAAAGAUAAAGAACAUUUGCAAAGUGACGAUGAAGGACAAGAACCGCUGUUAAACCAGGAAGACACAGCUAUGGAUGCUGUAUUCAUGUUCAACCCUCAUGCCAACAGAACGCAAUUAACCGCCUGGGAUUAGUUGUGUUUGAGUCUUUCGAGAAGGAAAGAAAUUACGAUGAUGAUCACGUUGAAUGAUGUGAAACCAUCUGUCUUGGUCACGUUAAGGCAGGAAGAAUCUGUUGGAUUACGUGCGCUGUAG